CAGGCUUAUUUCCAGAUCUCUGUCAUGGAUUUGGGUAUCAUCUAAGAGAUUUCUGGAUUGAAUGGGUUCAAGGGCAAGGACAGAUCAGGAAGAGCGUGGUG
This is a long non-coding RNA of Myotis brandtii (Brandt's bat), 101 nucleotides long. RefSeq lists it as uncharacterized. The record is from RefSeq and is a predicted model, not a curated record. The transcript is spliced from 3 exons. NCBI's taxonomy places the organism in Eukaryota, Metazoa, Chordata, Mammalia, Chiroptera, Vespertilionidae.